RNAcentral lists this RNase P RNA (348 nucleotides) under Thermoflexaceae bacterium. RNAcentral describes it as "RNase P RNA component class A". It matches the Rfam family "Bacterial RNase P class A". Rfam says of the family: Ribonuclease P (RNase P) is a ubiquitous endoribonuclease, found in archaea, bacteria and eukarya as well as chloroplasts and mitochondria. The record is from RNAcentral. Lineage: Bacteria; Bacillati; Chloroflexota; Thermoflexia; Thermoflexales; Thermoflexaceae.
UCAGCGGGCCGGGCGAUCGCCCUUCGGGGAGGAAAGUCCGGACUCCACCGGGCAGAGGCGCCGGGUAACGCCCGGGCGGUGCAAGCCGACGGAAAGUGCAACAGAACAUACCGCCCGCCUUUGCGGGUAAGGGUGAAAUGGUGCGGUAAGAGCGCACCGGCGUCCUGGUAACGGGGCGGCCGUGAAAACCCCGCCUGGAGCAAGGCCAAAUAGGGGAGAAGGGCGCCCGGCCCGUCAUCACUCCCGGGUUGGCCGCAAGAGCGUCACGGCAACGUGGCGCCCAGAGAGAUGGUCGCCGCUCCCGCGCUGCGGGAGGCACAGAAUCCGGCUUACAGGCCCGCUGAGCCA